GAUGAAGAACGCAGCAAAAUGCGAUAAGUAAUGUGAAUUGCAGAAUUCAGUGAAUCAUCGAAUCUUUGAACGCACAUUGCGCCCCCUGGUAUUCCGGGGGGCAUGCCUGUUCGAGCGUCAUUUCACCACUCAAGCCUCGCUUGGUAUUGGGCGACGCGGUCCGCCGCGCGCCUCAAAUCGACCGGCUGGGUCUUCCGUCCCCUCAGCGUUGUGGAAACUAUUCGCUAAAGGGUGCCGCGGGAGGUCACGCCGCAAAACAACCCCAUUUCUAAGGUUGACCUCGGAUCAGGUAGGGAUACCCGCUGAACUUAAGCAUAUCAAUAAGCGGAGGA
This 332-nucleotide unclassified non-coding RNA is filed under the name soil metagenome. Its description in RNAcentral is "partial contains 5.8S ribosomal RNA, internal transcribed spacer 2, and large subunit ribosomal RNA". The stretch from base 1 to 120 matches the Rfam family "5.8S ribosomal RNA", at positions 35 to 154 of the family's 154-position model. The record is from RNAcentral.